AGAGUUUGAUCAUGGCUCAGGAUGAACGCUGGCGGCGUGCCUAACACAUGCAAGUCGAACGAAGCUAUUUUGGAAACUCCUUCGGGAGUGGAAUCUUUAGUUUAGUGGCGGACGGGUGAGUAACGCGUGAGCAAUCUGCCUUUAAGAGGGGGAUAACAGUCGGAAACGGCUGCUAAUACCGCAUAAAGCAUCAAAUUCGCAUGUUUUUGAUGCCAAAGGAGCAAUCCGCUUUUAGAUGAGCUCGCGU
This 247-nucleotide ribosomal RNA is filed under the name uncultured bacterium. Its description in RNAcentral is "partial 16S ribosomal RNA". It matches the Rfam family "Bacterial small subunit ribosomal RNA", at positions 8 to 236 of the family's 1533-position model. The record is from RNAcentral.